UGGGGGACAACAUUUGGAAACAGAUGCUAAUACCGCAUAACAGCGUUGUUCGCAUGAACAACGCUUAAAAGACGGCUUCUCGCUAUCACUUCUGGAUGGACCUGCGGUGCAUUAGCUUGUUGGUGGGGUAACGGCCUACCAAGGCGAUGAUGCAUAGCCGAGUUGAGAGACUGAUCGGCCACAAUGGGACUGAGACACGGCCCAUACUCCUACGGGAGGCAGCAGUAGGGAAUCUUCCACAAUGGGCGCAAGCCUGAUGGAGCAACACCGCGUGAGUGAAGAAGGGUUUCGGCUCGUAAAGCUCUGUUGUUAAAGAAGAACACGUAUGAGAGUAACUGUUCAUACGUUGACGGUAUUUAACCAGAAAGUCACGGCUAACUACGUGCCAGCAGCCGCGGUAAUACGUAGGUGGCAAGCGUUAUCCGGAUUUAUUGGGCGUAAAGAGAGUGCAGGCGGUUUUCUAAGUCUGGUGUGAAAGCCUUCGGCUUAACCGGAGAAGUGCAUCGGAAACUGGAUAACUUGAGUGCAGAAGAGGGUAGUGGAACUCCAUGUGUAGCGGUGGAAUGCGUAGAUAUAUGGAAGAACACCAGUGGCGAAGGCGGCUACCUGGUCUGCAACUGACGCUGAGACUCGAAAGCAUGGGUAGCGAACAGGAUUUAGAUACCCCUGGUAGU
This 674-nucleotide ribosomal RNA is filed under the name uncultured bacterium. RNAcentral describes it as "bacterial SSU rRNA". It matches the Rfam family "Bacterial small subunit ribosomal RNA", at positions 137 to 794 of the family's 1533-position model. The record is from RNAcentral.